GUCGGGGAUGAAGUCCAGCUCCCGUAGGAGUCCGGAUGCAGUCUAGAAGGUGGUCGAUCAUCAUGGAAAUCUGGGUGGAGUUCGUCCGUCAUGAUGAAUCCGACCGACGCUGGUGGGGGCUUAUCCGUCGGCAAAACUUGGGAGUGUUGCGGAGGCUCGACCGUCAGAGAGGUUCGAAAAGAUGUCACCGAAGGUCGGAAGUCGGU
RNAcentral lists this long non-coding RNA (206 nucleotides) under Elaeis guineensis (African oil palm). Its description in RNAcentral is "long non-coding RNA (EGUI_LNC046151)". The record is from RNAcentral. Lineage: Eukaryota; Viridiplantae; Streptophyta; Magnoliopsida; Arecales; Arecaceae.